AUUGAACGCUGGCGGCAGGCCUAACACAUGCAAGUCGAACGGUAACAGGAAGAAGCUUGCUUCUUUGCUGACGAGUGGCGGACGGGUGAGUAAUGUCUGGGAAACUGCCUGAUGGAGGGGGAUAACUACUGGAAACGGUAGCUAAUACCGCAUAAUGUCGCAAGACCAAAGAGGGGGACCUUCGGGCCUCUUGCCAUCGGAUGUGCCCAGAUGGGAUUAGCUAGUAGGUGGGGUAACGGCUCACCUAGGCGACGAUCCCUAGCUGGUCUGAGAGGAUGACCAGCCACACUGGAACUGAGACACGGUCCAGACUCCUACGGGAGGCAGCAGUGGGGAAUAUUGCACAAUGGGCGCAAGCCUGAUGCAGCUAUGCCGCGUGUAUGAAGAAGGCCUUCGGGUUGUAAAGUACUUUCAGCGGGGAGGAAGGGAGUAAAGUUAAUACCGUUGCUCAUUGACGUUACCCGCAGAAGAAGCACCGGCUAACUCCGUG
RNAcentral lists this ribosomal RNA (490 nucleotides) under uncultured bacterium. Its description in RNAcentral is "partial 16S ribosomal RNA". It matches the Rfam family "Bacterial small subunit ribosomal RNA", at positions 30 to 507 of the family's 1533-position model. The record is from RNAcentral.